RNAcentral lists this ribosomal RNA (1048 nucleotides) under Salmonella enterica subsp. enterica serovar Augustenborg. RNAcentral describes it as "partial 23S ribosomal RNA". It matches the Rfam family "Bacterial large subunit ribosomal RNA", at positions 711 to 1757 of the family's 2925-position model. The record is from RNAcentral. Lineage: Bacteria; Pseudomonadati; Pseudomonadota; Gammaproteobacteria; Enterobacterales; Enterobacteriaceae.
AGACCCGAAACCCGGUGAUCUAGCCAUGGGCAGGUUGAAGGUUGGGUAACACUAACUGGAGGACCGAACCGACUAAUGUUGAAAAAUUAGCGGAUGACCUGUGGCUGGGGGUGAAAGGCCAAUCAAACCGGGAGAUAGCUGGUUCUCCCCGAAAGCUAUUUAGGUAGCGCCUCGUGAAUUCAUCUCCGGGGGUAGAGCACUGUUUCGGCUAGGGGGCCAUCCCGGCUUACCAACCCGAUGCAAACUGCGAAUACCGGAGAAUGUUAUCACGGGAGACACACGGCGGGUGCUAACGUCCGUCGUGAAGAGGGAAACAACCCAGACCGCCAGCUAAGGUCCCAAAGUCAUGGUUAAGUGGGAAACGAUGUGGGAAGGCCCAGACAGCCAGGAUGUUGGCUUAGAAGCAGCCAUCAUUUAAAGAAAGCGUAAUAGCUCACUGGUCGAGUCGGCCUGCGCGGAAGAUGUAACGGGGCUAAACCAUGCACCGAAGCUGCGGCAGCGACACUAUGUGUUGUUGGGUAGGGGAGCGUUCUGUAAGCCUGUGAAGGUGUGUCGUGAGGCAUGCUGGAGGUAUCAGAAGUGCGAAUGCUGACAUAAGUAACGAUAAAGCGGGUGAAAAGCCCGCUCGCCGGAAGACCAAGGGUUCCUGUCCAACGUUAAUCGGGGCAGGGUGAGUCGACCCCUAAGGCGAGGCCGAAAGGCGUAGUCGAUGGGAAACGGGUUAAUAUUCCCGUACUUGGUGUUACUGCGAAGGGGGGACGGAGAAGGCUAUGUUGGCCGGGCGACGGUUGUCCCGGUUUAAGCGUGUAGGUGUGUGUUCCAGGUAAAUCCGGUUCACUUUAACACUGAGGCGUGACGACGAGGCACUACGGUGCUGAAGCAACAAAUGCCCUGCUUCCAGGAAAAGCCUCUAAGCAUCAGGUAACAUCAAAUCGUACCCCAAACCGACACAGGUGGUCAGGUAGAGAAUACCAAGGCGCUUGAGAGAACUCGGGUGAAGGAACUAGGCAAAAUGGUGCCGUAACUUCGGGAGAAGGCACGCUGACAC